UUGUAUUCUAUUUAUAAAAUUAUGAUUUGCAAACUAUAUGUAUUCCCCUUCAGUAUUAUUUUUUUCAUUUUUUUUUGUGUGCAUAUUUGUAUUUUACAUAAAUGUUAUUAUGUUACUGUGAUAUUCUUUAUUUAAUAUCAAAAGUUUAAAUACGCGCCGGACGAACAGAGUUUACAACGCAUGCUUAAUGUCCUGACAGACUUGUGCUCAUCUUGAAAGUUUUUCAUAAACCCAGAAAGGAUGAAAGUAGUUCUCUUUAGAACACCAUCGUUUGAUAUUUGAGACUUUAAUUUUACAAG
This 299-nucleotide long non-coding RNA is filed under the name Mytilus galloprovincialis (Mediterranean mussel). The record is from RNAcentral. Lineage: Eukaryota; Metazoa; Mollusca; Bivalvia; Mytilida; Mytilidae.